UUAAGUAAGAAAGGGCGUACGGUGGAUGCCUAGGCACUUGAAACUGAAGAAGGACGCAACAAACGGCGAAACGCGGCGGGGAGCUGUACGUAAGCAAAGAUCCGCCGGUAUCCGAAUGGGGGAACCCGGCAUGCGUAAUAGCAUGUCAUCCGCAGAUGAACAAAUAGUCUGCGAGAGAGGUACCCGGGGAACUGAAACAUCUAAGUACCCGGAGGAAAAGAAAACAACAGUGAUUCCCUGAGUAGCGGCGAGCGAAAGGGGAGGAGCCCAAACCAGACCGAGGUCUGGGGUUGAAGGACCGCGAUACGGCAAGAAUCAUGGUAGGAGAACGGCAUUGAAAGGCCGACCGGAGAGGGUGCAAGUCCCGUAUCCGAAACCGUGAGGAAGCCCAGCGGGAUCCUGAGUACGGCGAGACACGAGAAAUCUUGUCGGAAGCAGGCGGGACCAUCCGUCAAGGCUAAAUAUAAGCAAGUGACCGAUAGUGAACCAGUACCGUGAGGGAAAGGUGAAAAGAACCGCGGGAGCGGAGUGAAAUAGAACCUGAAACCGUAUGCUUACAAGAAGUCAGAGCACGUUAAGGUGUGAUGGCGUGCCUUUUGUAGAAUGAACCGGCGAGUUAUGUUAUCGUGCGAGGUUAAGCAGGAGAUGCGGAGCCGAAGCGAAAGCGAGUCUUAAUAGGGCGGCAGUACGAUGACAUAGACCCGAAACCGUGUGAUCUAGCCAUGACCAGGUUGAAGUUCAGGUGAAACUGAAUGGAGGACCGAACCGACCCCCGUUGAAAAGUUGGCGGAUGAGUUGUGGCUAGGGGAGAAAUUCCAAUCGAACACGGAUAUAGCUGGUUCUCCCCGAAAUAGCUUUAGGGCUAGCGUCGAGGAUGAGUCUUGUGGAGGUAGAGCACUGAAUGUACGAUGGCCCCAUCCCGGGGUACUGAGUAUAAUCAAACUCCGAAUGCCAUGAGAUAUUCCCGGCAGUCAGACCGUGGGUGAUAAGGUCCAUGGUCAAAAGGGAAACAGCCCAGACCUACAGCUAAGGUCCCAAAAUGUAUGCUAAGUGGAAAAGGAUGUGGGGAUGCACAGACAACUAGGAGGUUGGCUCAGAAGCAGCCAUCCUUCAAAGAGUGCGUAACAGCUCACUAGUCGAGUGACCCUGCGCCGAAAAUGUACCGGGGCUAAGCAUACUACCGUAGCUGCGGAUUUGUAGUAAUACAAGUGGUAGGGGAGCGUUCCAUGCACGUGGAAGCCAUACCGAAAGGAGUGGUGGAGAGCAUGGAAGUGAGAAUGCCGGUGUGAGUAGCGAGAUGCAGGUGAGAAUCCUGCACACCGAUAGCCCAAGGAUUCCAGGGGAAGGUUCGUCCGCCCUGGGUAAGUCGGGACCUAAGGCGAGGCCGAAAGGCGUAGUCGAUGGAAAACAGGCAGAUAUUCCUGUACCCGCGAUGGAAAUGAAGGAAUGACGGAGAAGGCUAGCAUGAGCCACUUAUUGGAUUGUGGUCGAAGCGAAUAGCAGGUGCAUAGUCAAAUGCGUGCACGGGAUGUAAAACGUGACAGGUAAGCGAAACCCUAGGGGAGUAGCGAAGCAUGCGAGGCCAGCUUCCAGGAAAAGUUUCUAGUGCUGAUUCCAUAGCGGCCCGUACCAAAACCGACACAGGUGGGCAAGGAGAGGAUCCUGAGGUGAGCGAGAGAACUGUUGCCAAGGAACUCGGCAAAAUGACUCCGUAAGUUAGCGAGAAGGAGUGCUUAUGAAAGUAAGCCGCAGUGAAGAGGCCCAAGCGACUGUUUAACUAAAACACAGCUCUCUGCGAAGUCGCAAGACGAAGUAUAGGGGGUGACGCCUGCCCGGUGCUGGAAGGUUAAGAGGAUUUGUCAGUUUCGACGAAGCAAUGAAUUGAAGCCCCAGUGAACGGCGGCCGUAACUAUAACGGUCCUAAGGUAGCGAAAUUCCUUGUCAGGUAAGUUCUGACCCG
This 1960-nucleotide ribosomal RNA is filed under the name human gut metagenome. RNAcentral's name for it is "bacterial LSU rRNA". It matches the Rfam family "Bacterial large subunit ribosomal RNA", at positions 3 to 1990 of the family's 2925-position model. The record is from RNAcentral.